CGACAGCACGCUGAUCAGCAGACUUCUUAGCCAUGGCACCAAAGAGGGCUCGUUCUCGUAGUAGAAGUGCAAAAUCACCUGUGCGCAGGGUAGCUGGCGGUGUUACCAAGAGAAGAACUAAGAGAGCCGCCAGACCAAAAUCCCGAGUCAGAAAAGCAGCCAAAGCCGUGGCUAAGAGGGCACGCUCUAGAUCGGGUCGUCGCCGUAGCCGUUCAAAAUCUGCCCGUCGCGCCCGUCGUAGUCGCU
This is a long non-coding RNA of Lingula anatina, 246 nucleotides long. NCBI's taxonomy places the organism in Eukaryota, Metazoa, Brachiopoda, Lingulata, Lingulida, Lingulidae. The record is from RefSeq and is a predicted model, not a curated record.